This 468-nucleotide ribosomal RNA is filed under the name uncultured bacterium. RNAcentral's name for it is "partial 16S ribosomal RNA". It matches the Rfam family "Bacterial small subunit ribosomal RNA", at positions 28 to 507 of the family's 1533-position model. The record is from RNAcentral.
GACGAACGCUGGCGGCGUGCUUAACACAUGCAAGUCGAACGGAAAGGCCCUGCUUUUGUGGGGUGCUCGAGUGGCGAACGGGUGAGUAACACGUGAGUAACCUGCCCUUGACUUUGGGAUAACUUCAGGAAACUGGGGCUAAUACCGGAUAGGAGCUCCUGCUGCAUGGUGGGGGUUGGAAAGUUUCGGCGGUUGGGGAUGGACUCGCGGCUUAUCAGCAUGUUGGUGAGGUAGUGGCUUACCAAGGCUUUGACGGGUAGCCGGCCUGAGAGGGUGACCGGCCACAUUGGGACUGAGAUACGGCCCAGACUCCUACGGGAGGCAGCAGUGGGGAAUAUUGCAAAAUGGGCGGAAGCCUGAUGCAGCAACGCCGCGUGCGGGAUGACGGCCUUAGGGUUGUAAACCGUGUUCGCCUGUGACGAAGCGUGAGUGACGGUAAUGGGUAAAGAAGCACCGGCUAACUACGUG